RNAcentral lists this ribosomal RNA (468 nucleotides) under uncultured bacterium. RNAcentral's name for it is "partial 16S ribosomal RNA". It matches the Rfam family "Bacterial small subunit ribosomal RNA", at positions 28 to 523 of the family's 1533-position model. The record is from RNAcentral.
GAUGAACGCUGGCGGCGUGCCUAACACAUGCAAGUCGAGCGAUUCUCUUCGGAGAAGAGCGGCGGACGGGUGAGUAACGCGUGGGUAACCUGCCCUGUACACACGGAUAACAUACCGAAAGGUAUGCUAAUACGAGAUAAUAUACUUUUAUCGCAUGGUAGAAGUAUUAAAGCUCCGGCGGUACAGGAUGGACCCGCGUCUGAUUAGCUAGUUGGUAAGGUAACGGCUUACCAAGGCGACGAUCAGUAGCCGACCUGAGAGGGUGAUCGGCCACAUUGGAACUGAGACACGGUCCAAACUCCUACGGGAGGCAGCAGUGGGGAAUAUUGCACAAUGGGCGAAAGCCUGAUGCAGCAACGCCGCGUGAGUGGUGAAGGCCUUCGGGUCGUAAAGCUCUGUCCUCAAGGAAGAUAAUGACGGUACUUGAGGAGGAAGCCCCGGCUAACUACGUGCCAGCCGCCGCCGUAA